This 390-nucleotide ribosomal RNA is filed under the name uncultured bacterium. RNAcentral describes it as "bacterial SSU rRNA". It matches the Rfam family "Bacterial small subunit ribosomal RNA", at positions 29 to 417 of the family's 1533-position model. The record is from RNAcentral.
AUUGAACGCUGGCGGCAUGCCUUACACAUGCAAGUCGAACGGCAGCACGGGAGCAAUCCUGGUGGCGAGUGGCGAACGAGUGAGUAAUAUAUCGGAACGUGCCCGGUCGUGGGGAUAACGUAGCGAAAGCUACGCUAAUACCGCAUACGAUCUACGGAUGAAAGCGGGGGGAUCGGCAAGACCUCGCGCGAUUGGAGCGGCCGAUAUCAGAUUAGGUAGUUGGUGAGGUAAAGGGCUCACCAAGCCGACGAUCUGUAGCUGGUCUGAGAGGACGACCAGCCACACUGGGACUGAGACACGGCCCAGACUCCUACGGGAGGCAGCAGUGGGGAAUUUUGGACAAUGGGCGCGAAGCCUGAUCCAGCAAUGCCGCGUGCAGGAUGAAGGCCU